This 305-nucleotide ribosomal RNA is filed under the name uncultured bacterium. RNAcentral's name for it is "bacterial SSU rRNA". It matches the Rfam family "Bacterial small subunit ribosomal RNA", at positions 333 to 649 of the family's 1533-position model. The record is from RNAcentral.
GUUUGCCUACGGGGCGCAGCAGUCGAGAAUCAUUCACAAUGGGGGAAACCCUGAUGGUGCGACGCCGCGUGGGGGAAUGAAGGUCUUCGGAUUGUAAACCCCUGUCAUGUGGGAGCAAAUUAAAAAGAUAGUACCAAAAGAGGAAGAGACGGCUAACUCUGUGCCAGCAGCCGCGGUAAUACAGAGGUCUCAAGCGUUGUUCGGAAUCACUGGGCGUCAAGCGUGCGUAGGCUGUUUCGUAAGUCGUGUGUGAAAGGCGAGGGCGCAACCCGCGGACGGCACAUGAUACUGCGAGACUAGAGGAA